GUUUCCUUCAGCAGCACAUACAUUAAAUUUGGAAUACUACUGAGAUUAGCAUAUCUCCUGUGCAAGGAUUAAAUGCAAACUCAUGAAGUAUAUCAUUAAAGA
Molecule: small nuclear RNA, 102 nt
Organism: Monodelphis domestica (gray short-tailed opossum)
Lineage: Eukaryota; Metazoa; Chordata; Mammalia; Didelphimorphia; Didelphidae
Source: Ensembl